Anolis carolinensis (green anole) is the source of this 1341-nucleotide long non-coding RNA. RefSeq lists it as uncharacterized. The transcript has 2 exons. The record is from RefSeq and is a predicted model, not a curated record. NCBI's taxonomy places the organism in Eukaryota, Metazoa, Chordata, Lepidosauria, Squamata, Anolidae.
GGUCUCUGAGACACUACAGUAUGCAUCAGCAGUCAACCUGAUUAGCUUCAUGGUCAAAGAACAAGAUGACCUAGUCUAGUACCAAAAUGUUUUGAGGCAGACUUCCACAAAUCUCAAACUUCCUCAUGCCCAUAAUGAAUUAUUUGAGCCUUCUCAUUUUUAUAACUUCCAAACUACUCCUUUGGAAUAUUUAAACUAACUAGAUGAGAUUUCAAAGUGCUUUAAAAUGUUUUUAUAAGCUUGAGGAAUUAUUCCUGGAAAUAUUACUGACUUUUCAGCUAGUUCUCAAAUUUAUUAGCUUGGACAAUUCAUUUGUCACUCUUAUAUAGUUAUUUAAUGCUGCUCAGUAGCUGAGUUAAUUUGUCACAUAUACAUGGUUAUUUAAUGCGGCUUGCUGGCACGGUUAAUGUGCUACCUGCAUGUGAAUAUUUAAUGCUCAAGAGUGGUAGGUAUUGUACAAUUUUAAAUUAAGUUAAUUAGUGUGGAAAAUGGCAUGGAAGUUUCAGGCAAAUAUCACCUUUUUCUGUUUCCAGUUAUAAAAUUUGGCAUCAGUGUUGGUGGUUUUUCUUCAUAAACUAUUUGUCAUAACUGACCUCAGAACAGAACAUGAGGAACCUGCUAUAGUUUCUGUGUGGUGUCUUUAUCUUAACUUGCUCAAUCUACCUGAACUUACUGGCCAACAUAAGUUCCUCUCCAAUGUGUAUAGAGGCUUUUGCAUUGUCAGACCUCAGCAAGGUUACGUCCUAGGUCUUGAGGAAUUGGCUGCCCACCCAUGUAUGUACUCCUGGAAUGUUUAGGCUCCAAGUUGCAGAGUAAUGAAUAAGAAACCAAAGCAUGCUUUUCUGUCCUUUUUAACUUGGACAUUUUUUUAAAAAAUAAAUGUAAAACUAAUGGACGAGAGAGGGAGAAAUUUCUUGUCUAUGCCCAUCCACCCACUGUACUCUUUCAGAAACUGCUCCAGAGAACUGGAAGACCAUCUGAAGGAAAUGAUCAGGAGACACAGUGGUACAGACAACUGCUAUAGAAGGAAGAGAGAAGGAGAAUGAAAAAACCAUGCUACAAAUGGGAGCUGCAAAUCCCAGCAUAACUAGUGGUGACGAAUGCUGGGGAGUGCAUCUGGAGCAUCUGGAGAUCCUUUGCUUUAGUUGUGUACUACAUAUAAUUUAAUGUACCUUGUAGAUGAAUUUAAAACACUGUUUUUUUUAAAAUCUUUUUAUUAGUUCUGCUUUACUUAUUUUAGUUUGACAUUUUAUUGAAAAUUAUUGACUGAUUGCAUUGUCUGCUUUUGAAGUGGCCUUCUGUCCACAGAAGCUUAUGUCAAAUAAAUAUGUUGGUCUGUAA